This 729-nucleotide ribosomal RNA is filed under the name Chaenothecopsis vainioana. RNAcentral describes it as "eukaryotic LSU rRNA". The stretch from base 356 to 509 matches the Rfam family "5.8S ribosomal RNA". Lineage: Eukaryota; Fungi; Ascomycota; Eurotiomycetes; Mycocaliciales; Mycocaliciaceae. The record is from RNAcentral.
AGUAAAAGUCGUAACAAGGUUUCCGUAGGUGAGUUGAGCCAAAUCUUUCUCACACAGUCUUGUCACAUAGCACAUCUCUUGAAUUACUAACCCUACAGUUCUCUCCCUGAAAACCACGCAUUGUGCGGUGAACUUCUGCUAACCCCAAGUUUGCAGGUGAACCUGCGGAAGGAUCAUUACUGAGUUCUGGGUCCUCCGGGGCCCGAUCUCCCACCCUAUGUUUACCUGUCCAUGUUGCUUCGGCGGACCCCCGUCGCCCCCGGCCUGGCCCGGGUGGCGGCGACCCGCCGGAGACCCCUCAAAAUUCGAACCGUCGAACAAAUGUUGUCUGAGUGAGAAGAGCGAAUAGAAACAAAACUUUCAACAACGGAUCUCUUGGUUCUGGCAUCGAUGAAGAACGCAGCGAAAUGCGAUAAGUAAUGUGAAUUGCAGAAUUUAGUGAAUCAUCGAAUCUUUGAACGCACAUUGCGCCCCCUGGUAUUCCGGGGGGCAUGCCUGUUCGAGCGUCAUUAUCAACCCUCAAGCCCGGCUUGCUGUUGAGCUUCCCGUCUGCCCGUCUCCGGGUGGACCGGCUCGAAAAUCGGUGACGGCCCCGGCCAGUCUCCAGCGCAGUACGAUUUACAUCACCGCUGACGAGACUUGCCCGGAGCGCCGGACAGCCCACCCCAUAUUUCUAUGAUUGACCUCGGAUCAGGUAGGGAUACCCGCUGAACUUAAGCAUAUCAAUAA